AGUCUAUUCAGAGGAACCUGUCCUAUAAUUGAUAGUCCACGAUUUUAUUUACUUAUUUUUUUAAUUUACAUAUCGUCGUAGGUUGAAUAUUUUAAUAGAAAUUUAAAUAUUCAAGAUUCUUAUUUGAAGGAAUUCAGAUCAAGGUGUAGUUUAUAAAUGAGAAGAGAUGGGUUACAAUAAAUUUUAUUUAUACAGUUAAGCAUUUUUAAUAUUACUUAUAAGGUGGAUUUGAUGGUAAUUUUUUUUAAAUUUUAAAAAUGAUUUUAGCUCUAAAAUAUGUACAUAUCGCCCGUCGCUUUCACUCUAAGGUGAAAUAAGUCGUAACAAAGUAGGUGUACCGGAAGGUGUACCUGGAAAAU
This 359-nucleotide ribosomal RNA is filed under the name Wagnerinus sp. 1-Kotamagawa. RNAcentral's name for it is "partial 12S ribosomal RNA". RNAcentral also lists the same sequence under 1 other name. The record is from RNAcentral. Lineage: Eukaryota; Metazoa; Arthropoda; Insecta; Coleoptera; Curculionidae.